GACGAACGCNGGCGGCGUGCCUAAUACAUGCAAGUAGAACGCUGAAGAGAGGAGCUUGCUCUUCUUGGAUGAGUUGCGAACGGGUGAGUAACGCGUAGGUAACCUGCCUGGUAGCGGGGGAUAACUAUUGGAAACGAUAGCUAAUACCGCAUAAAAUUGAUUAUUGCAUGAUAAUUAAUUGAAAGAUGCAAUUGCAUCACUACCAGAUGGACCUGCGUUGUAUUAGCUAGUUGGUGAGGUAACGGCUCACCAAGGCGACGAUACAUAGCCGACCUGAGAGGGUGAUCGGCCACACUGGGACUGAGACACGGCCCAGACUCCUACGGGAGGCAGCAGUAGGGAAUCUUCGGCAAUGGGGGGAACCCUGACCGAGCAACGCCGCGUGAGUGAAGAAGGUUUUCGGAUCGUAAAGCUCUGUUGUAAGAGAAGAACGGGUGUGAGAGNGGAAAGUCACAC
RNAcentral lists this ribosomal RNA (456 nucleotides) under uncultured bacterium. Its description in RNAcentral is "bacterial SSU rRNA". It matches the Rfam family "Bacterial small subunit ribosomal RNA", at positions 28 to 469 of the family's 1533-position model. The record is from RNAcentral.